AGAAUGAACGCUGGCGGCAUGCCUAACACAUGCAAGUCGAACGAAGCCUUCGGGCUUAGUGGCGCACGGGUGCGUAACGCGUGGGAAUCUGCCCUUGGGUUCGGAAUAACAGCGAGAAAUUGCUGCUAAUACCGGAUGAUGACGUAAGUCCAAAGAUUUAUCGCCCAAGGGAUGAGCCCGCGUAGGAUUAGCUAGUUGGUGAGGUAAAGGCUCACCAAGGCGACGAUCCUUAGCUGGUCUGAGAGGAUGAUCAGCCACACUGGGACUGAGACACGGCCCAGACUCCUACGGGAGGCAGCAGUGGGGAAUAUUGGACAAUGGGCGAAAGCCUGAUCCAGCAAUGCCGCGUGAGUGAUGAAGGCCUUAGGGUUGUAAAGCUCUUUUACCCGGGAUGAUAAUGACAGUACCGGGAGAAUAAGCCCGGCUAACUCCGUGCCAGCACGCCGC
This 447-nucleotide ribosomal RNA is filed under the name uncultured bacterium. RNAcentral's name for it is "SSU rRNA". It matches the Rfam family "Bacterial small subunit ribosomal RNA", at positions 26 to 518 of the family's 1533-position model. The record is from RNAcentral.